RNAcentral lists this small RNA (547 nucleotides) under Malus domestica (apple). RNAcentral describes it as "sRNA MD12G0216200". The record is from RNAcentral. Lineage: Eukaryota; Viridiplantae; Streptophyta; Magnoliopsida; Rosales; Rosaceae.
UUAAUUGGUGAGCCAAGGGGGACCCACCCCUGAUUUCUGUCCCCAGCCUCCCAUCUCUCUUUUCCUUCUUCUUCGUCUCUCCCCCCGUAACUCUCCCUUAGCUCUCUCCCUCUCAGCUCUCCCGUACCUCUCUCCCUCAACCUCUCGCAUCUCUCUCUUCCCCUGGACUCACUAGGACCGAGUCACCAUCGAAGAGAGGCUCGCAACGAACCCCGGACCCUGCCCUGCGAGUUCGACGGCACGGAGUAAGCUCCGGCGAGCACCGCCCCUUUCGAGGCCAUUUCCGGCCAAACCACGGCGAGUUGGCCGGCGUGUAAGUUUCCGGCGAGUCCGACGGAUUUCGAGGCAUUUUACGGCCAAACCACGGCGAGUUAGACGCCGUGUGAGUUUUAUUUAUUGAACUCUUUAAUGUGCUUAGGGGCAAAUAUUGUGACGCUUCCGUCUUCGCUAGUGGCGCAGCUUUUGGCAACUAAGACUUAGAAUCAAGGCACCUAAUCCCGGCGUCAAGGCACUUUCGCAGCAGCAUUUUCGGAUCCUCUCGAUGUAG